GGGUGAGUAACACGUAUCCAACCUGCCGUCUACUCUUGGACAGCCUUCUGAAAGGAAGAUUAAUACAAGAUGGCAUCAUGAGUCCGCAUGUUCACAUGAUUAAAGGUAUUCCGGUAGACGAUGGGGAUGCGUUCCAUUAGAUAGUAGGCGGGGUAACGGCCCACCUAGUCUUCGAUGGAUAGGGGUUCUGAGAGGAAGGUCCCCCACAUUGGAACUGAGACACGGUCCAAACUCCUACGGGAGGCAGCAGUGAGGAAUAUUGGUCAAUGGGCGAGAGCCUGAACCAGCCAAGUAGCGUGAAGGAUGACUGCCCUAUGGGUUGUAAACUUCUUUUAUAAAGGAAUAAAGUCGGGUAUGGAUACCCGUUUACAUGUACUUUAUGAAUAAGGAUCGGCUAACUCCGUGCCAGCAGCCGCGGUAAUACGGAGGAUCCGAGCGUUAUCCGGAUUUAUUGGGUUUAAAGGGAGCGUAGAUGGAUGUUUAAGUCAGUUGUGAAAGUUUGCGGCUCAACCGUAAAAUUGCAGUUGAUACUGGAUAUCUUGAGUGCAGUUGAGGCAGGCGGAAUUCGUGGUGUAGCGGUGAAAUGCUUAGAUAUCACGAAGAACUCCGAUUGCGAAGGCAGCCUGCUAAGCUGCAACUGACAUUGAGGCUCGAAAGUGUGGGUAUCAAACAGGAUUAGAUACCCUGGUAGUCCACGCAGUAAACGAU
RNAcentral lists this ribosomal RNA (708 nucleotides) under uncultured bacterium. RNAcentral describes it as "bacterial SSU rRNA". It matches the Rfam family "Bacterial small subunit ribosomal RNA", at positions 104 to 810 of the family's 1533-position model. The record is from RNAcentral.